ACUCGAAUCAACAAAUUGCGCCGAU
This 25-nucleotide non-coding RNA is filed under the name Drosophila melanogaster (fruit fly). The record is from RNAcentral. Lineage: Eukaryota; Metazoa; Arthropoda; Insecta; Diptera; Drosophilidae.